UACGGAAGGCAGCAGUGGGGAAUAUUGCACAAUGGGCGAAAGCCUGAUGCAGCUAUGCCGCGUGUAUGAAGAAGGCCUUAGGGUUGUAAAGUACUUUCAUCGGGGAGGAAAAAACAAAACUAAUAAUUUUUAUUUCUUGACGUUACCCGAAAAAGAAGCACCGGCUAACUCCGUGCCAGCAGCCGCGGUAAUACGGAGGGUGCUAGCGUUAAUCAGAAUUACUGGGCGUAAAGAGGCACGUAGGUGGUUUUUUUAAAGUCAGAUGUGAAUCCCUGGGCUUAACCUGGAACUGCAUUUUGAAACUGAAAUACUAGAGUAUCGUAGAGGGAGGUAGAAUUCUAGGUGUAGCGGUGAAAUGCGUAGAUAUCUGGAGGAAUACCUGUGGCGAAAGCGGCCUCCUAAACGAAUACUGACACUGAGGUGCGAAAGCGUGGGGAGCGAAACAGGGAUUAGAUACC
This 458-nucleotide ribosomal RNA is filed under the name uncultured bacterium. RNAcentral's name for it is "bacterial SSU rRNA". It matches the Rfam family "Bacterial small subunit ribosomal RNA", at positions 340 to 786 of the family's 1533-position model. The record is from RNAcentral.